GUUGAAGAGAAAGGACUUGUAAACAGCAUUGUGGAGUUAGGAAAAUGCUGAGAAGAUGACCCUAGGAAAACGAGCAGCUUUCACAAUAGAGAUAUUCAGAAGAAGCUUUGCCCUUUAGAGAGAGCUGGGUUCCAGGGAAGGCAAGAAGUCAACUGAAGAUAUUGUGUCAAAUGACUUACGGGAUUAGUGAGAAGGUUGAAGAAACAGACUCUAGUUUGGCUCCUAGGAAUGACUCCCAAACAACAUUGCAGAAUAGUAUCAUCAAGG
This 267-nucleotide long non-coding RNA is filed under the name Homo sapiens (human). RNAcentral describes it as "HSALNT0127322". The record is from RNAcentral. Lineage: Eukaryota; Metazoa; Chordata; Mammalia; Primates; Hominidae.